ACCAGACUGAAGACCAGCUUCCAAACACUUUUUGUUUUGUUUUCUCCUCAGUCUCAUCCACAGGACCAAGGAAAAUAGUGUUCUCCAUGCUUUGAAGCAUUAGGGAAUAGUAAGAUCUUUGCUACCACAAGAAUGUGAACUUGCACAUGGGAAAGUAACAGUAGGCAACACAACGUCACAUCCUGGACUGUCUUUGAGUCACUGUAUCAAUGACUGUCAAGCCAACUUUGCCAUCCCAGUCAACUUUAUUCUAAUUCAAUGAUUGGGUCCCCAGCAUUAAGAGUUUCAAACAGUGGUCAUAAAAAACAGUAACCUCUUUGUGGGAGUUGCCUGAUGUGCUUUUCCAUUUUGUGUUCUACCUUGUGUUCCUGCUUGGGUCUCACAGAGGUCCUCCUGUGAGGACUUUCCUUGCUGGGUGCAGAAGGAAAGAGCACUUCUUGGCAUAAGGAUGGUAAUCAAAGCAUCGUCUUGCUGGAAGAGAACCAUAUGUGAUCUUAAGUUCAUACGGUAGCUGAAGUCCCAAGCACAUACCUCAUACGUCCUCCUGAACAUGGAAGAAGUCUCUCUUGACCACCAAGACACAUCUUUACAUACCUGUCAUGCUGUCUCAUUAGAUGUGCUUGGUAUUUAUGGAGGUCAAAUCACCAACAGGACAGGAUGUUAUCUGCCAGUUACACAAAGCAACCAUCACACCUGUGCUAAUACUCUAAACACUUGAGCAAUAAAGAUCCUGUGUUAUUUUGCAAUAAAGCUUGUUUACUUUUUGCUACUGUUCAAGCCUACGAUGAAGAAAGUAUCUUCAAAAAAGUAACAGGUGAACUCCAGCUGUCUAGAUCACUAUGGCAACAUCCAUUUCUUCCAGCUGCACAAGCAGGUAAUAGGGCCAUCGUUUUCUAUUUUAAAACAAAUACAGAACAGGAACUUAGUUUUAUGUCAGCAAG
Molecule: long non-coding RNA, 941 nt
Filed under: Gallus gallus (chicken)
Lineage: Eukaryota; Metazoa; Chordata; Aves; Galliformes; Phasianidae
Description: long non-coding RNA NONGGAT004367
Source: RNAcentral